RNAcentral lists this ribosomal RNA (561 nucleotides) under Botryosphaeria sp. 8Af12. Its description in RNAcentral is "eukaryotic LSU rRNA". It matches the Rfam family "Eukaryotic large subunit ribosomal RNA", at positions 75 to 651 of the family's 3401-position model. Lineage: Eukaryota; Fungi; Ascomycota; Dothideomycetes; Botryosphaeriales; Botryosphaeriaceae. The record is from RNAcentral.
UUGCCUUAGUAACGGCGAGUGAAGCGGCAAUAGCUCAAAUUUGAAAGCUGGCCCCUUCGGGGUCCGCGUUGUAAUUUGUAGAGGAUGAUUCGGCGAGGGCUCCCGUCUAAGUCCCUUGGAACAGGGCGUCAUAGAGGGUGAGAAUCCCGUAUGUGAUGGGCUGCCUUAGCCAUGUGAAUCUCCUUCGACGAGUCGAGUUGUUUGGGAAUGCAGCUCUAAAUGGGAGGUAAAUUUCUUCUAAAGCUAAAUACCGGCCAGAGACCGAUAGCGCACAAGUAGAGUGAUCGAAAGAUGAAAAGCACUUUGGAAAGAGAGUUAAAAAGUACGUGAAAUUGUUGAAAGGGAAGCGCUUGCAGCCAGACUUGUCCGCAGUUGCUCAGCUUGUCUCCUGACAGGCGUACUCUUCUGCGGCCAGGCCAGCAUCAGUUCGGGCGGUCGGAUAAAGACCUGGGGAAUGUAGCUCCUCUCGGGGAGUGUUAUAGCCCUGGGUGCAAUGCGGCCAGCCUGGACUGAGGAUCUCGCUUCGGCUAGGAUGCUGGCGUAAUGGCUGUAANCGGCCCG